UCUACAGGCUUAACACAUGCAAGUCGAGGGGCAGCAUGGUCUUAGCUUGCUAAGGCCGAUGGCGACCGGCGCACGGGUGAGUAACACGUAUCCAACCUGCCGUCUACUCUUGGACAGCCUUCUGAAAGGAAGAUUAAUACAAGAUGGCAUCAUGAGUCCGCAUGUUCACAUGAUUAAAGGUAUUCCGGUAGACGAUGGGGAUGCGUUCCAUUAGAUAGUAGGCGGGGUAACGGCCCACCUAGUCUUCGAUGGAUAGGGGUUCUGAGAGGAAGGUCCCCCACAUUGGAACUGAGACACGGUCCAAACCCCUACGGGAGGCAGCAGUGAGGAAUAUUGGUCAAUGGGCGAGAGCUUGAACCAGCCAAGUAGCGUGAAGGAUGACUGCCCUAUGGGUUGUAAACUUCUUUUAUAAAGGAAUAAAGUCGGGUAUGGAUACCCGUUUGCAUGUACUUUAUGAAUAAGGAUCGGCUAACUCCGUGCCAGCAGCCGCGGUAGUACGGAGGAUCCGAGCGUUAUCCGGAUUUAUUGGGUUUAAAGGGAGCGUAGAUGGAUGUUUAAGUCAGUUGUGAAAGUUUGCGGCUCAACCGUAAAAUUGCAGUUGAUACUGGAUAUCUUGAGUGCAGUUGAGGCAGGCGGAAUUCGUGGUGUAGCGGUGAAAUGCUUAGAUAUCACGAAGAACUCCGAUUGCGAAGGCAGCCUGCUAAGCUGCAACUGACAUUGAGGCUCGAAAGUGUGGGUAUCAAACAGGAUUAGAUACCCUGGUAGUCCACACGGUAAACGAUGAAUACUCGCUGUUUGCGAUAUACUGCAAGCGGCCAAGCGAAAGCGUUAAGUAUUCCACCUGGGGAGUACGCCGGCAACGGUGAAACUCAAAGGAAUUGACGGGGGCCCGCACAAGCGGAGGAACAUGUGGUUUAAUUCGAUGAUACGCGAGGAACCUUACCCGGGCUUAAAUUGCAGAUGAAUUACGGUGAAAGCCGUAAGCCGCAAGGCAUCUGUGAAGGUGCUGCAUGGUUGUCGUCAGCUCGUGCCGUGAGGUGUCGGCUUAAGUGCCAUAACGAGCGCAACCCUUGUUGUCAGUUACUAACAGGUUCCGCUGAGGACUCUGACAAGACUGCCAUCGUAAGAUGUGAGGAAGGUGGGGAUGACGUCAAAUCAGCACGGCCCUUACGUCCGGGGCUACACACGUGUUACAAUGGGGGGUACAGAGGGCCGCUACCACGCGAGUGGAUGCCAAUCCCCAAAACCUCUCUCAGUUCGGACUGGAGUCUGCAACCCGACUCCACGAAGCUGGAUUCGCUAGUAAUCGCGCAUCAGCCACGGCGCGGUGAAUACGUUCCCGGGCCUUGUACACACCGCCCGUCAAGCCAUGGGAGCCGGGGGUACCUGAAGUGCGUAACCGCGAGGAGCGCCCUAGGGUAAAACUGGUGACUGGGGCUA
Molecule: ribosomal RNA, 1440 nt
Filed under: uncultured bacterium
Lineage: Bacteria
Description: bacterial SSU rRNA
Rfam family: Bacterial small subunit ribosomal RNA
Source: RNAcentral